RNAcentral lists this ribosomal RNA (492 nucleotides) under uncultured bacterium. RNAcentral's name for it is "partial 16S ribosomal RNA". It matches the Rfam family "Bacterial small subunit ribosomal RNA", at positions 28 to 507 of the family's 1533-position model. The record is from RNAcentral.
GAUGAACGCUAGCUACAGGCUUAACACAUGCAAGUCGAGGGGAAACGACAUCGAAAGCUUGCUUUUGAUGGGCGUCGACCGGCGCACGGGUGAGUAACGCGUAUCCAACCUGCCCAUCACUUGGGAAUAACCUUGCGAAAGUAAGACUAAUACCCAAUGACAUCCCACGAAGACAUCUGAAUGGGAUUAAAGAUUUAUCGGUGAUGGAUGGGGAUGCGUCUGAUUAGCUUGUUGGCGGGGUAACGGCCCACCAAGGCAACGAUCAGUAGGGGUUCUGAGAGGAAGGUCCCCCACAUUGGAACUGGGACAAGGCCCAAACGCGUACGGGAGGCAGCGGUGAGUAAGAUUGGGCAAUGAGCGAGAGCCUGAACCAGCCAAGUAGCGUGCAGGAUGACGGCCCUAUGGGUUGUAAACUGCUUUUAUAAGGGGAUAAAGUGGGUCUCGUGAGACUUUUUGCAUGUACCUUAUGAAUAAGGACCGGCUAAUUCCGUG